This 253-nucleotide ribosomal RNA is filed under the name uncultured bacterium. RNAcentral describes it as "partial 16S ribosomal RNA". It matches the Rfam family "Bacterial small subunit ribosomal RNA", at positions 524 to 776 of the family's 1533-position model. The record is from RNAcentral.
UACGUAGGGUGCAAGCGUUAAUCGGAAUUACUGGGCGUAAAGCGUGCGCAGGCGGUUGUGCAAGACAGGUGUGAAAUCCCCGGGCUCAACCUGGGAACUGCAUUUGUGACUGCACGGCUAGAGUGUGUCAGAGGGGGGUAGAAUUCCACGUGUAGCAGUGAAAUGCGUAGAGAUGUGGAGGAAUACCGAUGGCGAAGGCAGCCCCCUGGGAUAGCACUGACGCUCAUGCACGAAAGCGUGGGGAGCAAACAGG